UAAGUAGGCGGUGGAAAAUGAACCAAAUGGGAUUCCUUAAGUAAUUGCGAAUGAACAAGGAAAUGCUCAGCUUGAAAAAUGGGGCCUUCGGCUUUGAAUUGUAAUUUUGAAAUGUAUUGCCAAUGGAGGCGCAGGUGCAAGCCUAUUGAAAGAAAGCGUCAAUGAGGGUGAGAUUCCUUUUUGUCAUUUGCAGUCCUCCGUGCACGGUAUAUAUUUGACGAGUCACACUCCUCGGCAUUGGAAUGCAAAGUGGGUGGUAAAUUCCAUGUAAAGGUAAAUAUAUUAUUGAGACUGAUAGCAAACAAGUACCAUGAGGGAAAUAUGAAAAGGACUUUGAAAAGAGAAUUAAAAGAGUCUGCAUUUGCUGAACAGAAAGCAAACAGAAUUGAUCUUGCCUGGUGAGAUUGUUGCGUCUACUUCUGCAUUUCUAUGUUGGAUGUGGGUGCGAUGGUUCUUGCCUUGAAUGUCAGCUUCUUUUUCUGCAAAUCAUUACCCUUGCACAUGAAUGGUAAUUUGCCUGCGGGUAUUGGAAUGCAUGUGUUUGCCAUGAUUUGUGAUUUGAUACAUGUGUCUGGUGGUACUUGUGUGUGUUCCUUUGUCAAAGGGGAARNUUUGCUUCCUUGAGCACCACAAGCCCUUGCAC
Molecule: ribosomal RNA, 643 nt
Filed under: Alexandrium tamutum
Lineage: Eukaryota; Dinophyceae; Gonyaulacales; Pyrocystaceae
Description: LSU rRNA
Rfam family: Eukaryotic large subunit ribosomal RNA
Source: RNAcentral